RNAcentral lists this ribosomal RNA (198 nucleotides) under uncultured bacterium. RNAcentral describes it as "partial 16S ribosomal RNA". It matches the Rfam family "Bacterial small subunit ribosomal RNA", at positions 328 to 540 of the family's 1533-position model. The record is from RNAcentral.
ACGCUCGACACCUACGGGGGCAGCAGUGGGGAAUAUUGCACAAUGGGGGGAACCCUGAUGCAGCGACGCCGCGUGAGUGAAGAAGUACUUCGGUAUGUAAAGCUCUAUCAGCAGGGAAGAAAAUGACGGUACCUGACUAAGAAGCCCCGGCUAACUACGUGCCAGCAGCCGCGGUAAUCUGAGCGGGCUGGCGAAGGC